Molecule: ribosomal RNA, 254 nt
Filed under: uncultured bacterium
Lineage: Bacteria
Description: partial 16S ribosomal RNA
Rfam family: Bacterial small subunit ribosomal RNA
Source: RNAcentral
UACGUAGGGUGCAAGCGUUAAUCGGAAUUACUGGGCGUAAAGCGUGCGCAGGCGGUUGUGCAAGACAGAUGUGAAAUCCCCGGGCUCAACCUGGGAAUUGCAUUUGUGACUGCACGGCUAGAGUGUGUCAGAGGGGGGUAGAAUUCCACGUGUAGCAGUGAAAUGCGUAGAUAUGUGGAGGAACACCGAUGGCGAAGGCAGCCCCCCUGGGUCAAAACUGACGCUCAUGCACGAAAGCGUGGGGAGCAAACAGG